GACGAACGCUGGCGGCGUGCUUAACACAUGCAAGUCGAACGGAAAGGCCCUGCUUUUGUGGGGUGCUCGUGUGGCGAACGGGUGAGUAAAACGUGAGUAACCUGCCCUUGACUUUGGGAUAACUCCAGGAAACUGGGGCUAAUACCGGAUAGGAGCUCCUGCUGCAUGGUGGGGGUUGGAAAGUGCCGGCGGUUGUGGAUGGACUCGAGGCUUAUCAGCUAGUUGGUGAGGUAGUGGCUUACCAAGGCUUCGACGGGUAGCCGGCCUGGGAGGGUGACCGGGCACAUGGGUACUGAGAUACGGAGCAGACGCCUACGGGAGGCAGCAGUGGAGAGUCUGGCACAGCGAGCGGGAGCCAGAGACAGAGGCGCCGCGUGCGUGAUGACGGGCUAUGGGGGGAAAACCGCUUUCGACGGUGACGAGGCGUGAGUGACGGUAAUGGGUAAGGAAGCACCGGCUAACUACGUG
RNAcentral lists this ribosomal RNA (468 nucleotides) under uncultured bacterium. Its description in RNAcentral is "partial 16S ribosomal RNA". It matches the Rfam family "Bacterial small subunit ribosomal RNA", at positions 28 to 507 of the family's 1533-position model. The record is from RNAcentral.